This is a non-coding RNA of Zootermopsis nevadensis, 1981 nucleotides long. Lineage: Eukaryota; Metazoa; Arthropoda; Insecta; Blattodea; Termopsidae. The record is from RefSeq and is a predicted model, not a curated record.
UAGCCUGGUUCUUCUUUUAUUCUAUAAUUUUGACAGAAACUUUUCGAACUGUUCAAUACUGAAAUAACAACUUUUCAGACGGGCAUUCCGAAUCAAAUCUCUUCCGCGAGCAAAAACACGUAAAGCGACCAUUACUGCUGUCAGAUCCUUGCUUGCUAUUUCGGGGAGAAUUUCUGUCACUGCACAACAACGCGUCUCAUAUCUCUGGCUGACAAACAUGUCAUUACAACGCAAAAGUCGCCUACUUUUCAGAACGUGUUUCGAAACUUACUACUACAUCGUGUGAAAGACGGGGAUUAUGUAACAUGGACUAACACCGUACAGAGCGCCGAAGGUAUCGUGUGCAACAGUACGGUGUGCCAAAGGAACUGACACGAUAUAAAAGGCGGAAAUAUCAAUAACAACAAUUUAUCACCCAGCAUUGUGUAACAGUGAGCUGUCAUAAAGAAGGAAGAAAACUAAGAAUGGCCUGGUCGAGUUUCUUCAAAGGACAAAAAGAGGGCAGCACAUCGUGUCAAGAUAAGAAGAAGAAGCCUUGUACAAUGUGUAAGGUGCAUGGCUGUUGCAAGACCUGUGGAAUAAAAUGCAAGUGUCAACACAUACUGGUUCAUCUUCCACUUUUCACCUACUACACUGACACAAUGCACUAAUGGAGAAAUCAGUAAUGUCAACCAAAAAGAUAAUAAAGAAUCAUCAUUGCAGCAUCCAGAUGUUGAGUUGGCACCAGAAGUGAAGCACAGUCUUAAGAAUACAAGUUAAUGUCACUCUGAAUCAUAAAUGAUUUCUACUGUCAAACACUGAGAAAGCAAAGUAGUAAUUAUCAGCCAUAUUGAAUUACAAGAUUGGAGCCCCAUUUAAUGAUCACUAAAGUAGCCUUUGCAAGUUUUAAGUAGGCGUGUUCCAUGGAACAAAACAGAAAAAUCUCAUCUUUAUCCACUCCUUGCAGGCUCCUGUGUUGUUCAGUUGUCUGUUUCUUUUCUAAAAUUUUUUCUUCCUUUCCUUUAUAAAUACAAGAAAGUGUUAGCUGUAUGAAGCACAAAGUAAAGGAGAUGAAAAUGAAUCAUUUGAACAAGAUUACAUUGAUGAAAGACUCUUGCGUUACAAGCCACAUCACGUGGCUGAAUGGUGAAUAAACCAUAUCUUAUGCCAUCGUUACGAGAGCAAUCUCGCGGCUCGUAACCCAAGAGCCUUUCAUCAACUUCAGUUGUCGCAAAAGCUUCACUGUAUACAUAAAAUUAUAUUGGUCAAGCUCGUGACAUUACCUUCUGAGAACUGUGAUUCAAUUCUAAUAAAAGGACACACUGCAAUUUAGUUUUACAAUAGUGCAAAGGAAAGAAAUAUUUUGUGAUUUUAAUCUUAACAACAUCAGGCAAGCAGGAAUAAUGGUUACAGAGGCAUCUUUCCUUCACCAAAUGUCUCAUAAGUGUGAGGAAAGAAAAGCCUGGUACAUCAAGUGGAAACUGUUAUAGACUGAAAACUUUAAGACAUUUCUGUAUACAGGAAACUUAUUUUCCACAGAAAACAUCCAAUGUAAAUAAUUUCUCCUGUGAAGCACAGUUUGCCAUCAAACAUUAAAUUAAGAAAACAGUGCAAUAUGUAAAGCAAUAUUAAGAAUGCACUGUAAUUUAGUACCAAAAGAGCUACAUUUUGCUUUUAGUUUUAUAAAUAACUCCCUGGUACCAGAACCCGCAGGUCCAACACUGACAACACCAAAGCCCAUCACCAGACACAAUCCUGAGCCAACUCAAUCCAUUUACCAUCCUCACAGACCACCUCCCUGAGAUCCAUCUUGAUAUUAUCCUCUCAUCUCCUUCUUGGUCUGUCCAGUGGUCAUUUUCCAGAAGGAUGUCCCACCAAAAUUCUGUAUCCCCUCCAAAGUGUGCUCCUUUCCAGCCCAUCAGAGCCUCCUAGGUUUCACUAUCCUCACUAUGUUAGCUGACCUGUGCAAUUCACACUGCUCCUAGUUAUGUAAUAUUCUAAA